AUUGAACGCUGGCGGCAUGCUUUACACAUGCAAGUCGAACGGCAGCACGGGGGUAACCCUGGUGGCGAGUGGCGAACGGGUGAGUAAUGCAUCGGAACAUAUCUUAAAGUGGGGAAUAACGCAUCGAAAGGUGUGCUAAUACUCCAUAUACUCUAAGGAGGAAAGCGGGGGAUCGAAAGACCUCGUGCUUUAAGGGUGGCCGAUGUCUGAUUAGCUAGUUGGUGGGGUAAAGGCUUACCAAGGCGACGAUCAGUAGCUGGUCUGAGAGGACGAUCAGCCACACUGGGACUGAGACACGGCCCAGACUCCUACGGGAGGCAGCAGUGGGGAAUUUUGGACAAUGGGCGAAAGCCUGAUCCAGCCAUGCCGCGUGAGU
This 376-nucleotide ribosomal RNA is filed under the name uncultured bacterium. RNAcentral describes it as "bacterial SSU rRNA". It matches the Rfam family "Bacterial small subunit ribosomal RNA", at positions 30 to 406 of the family's 1533-position model. The record is from RNAcentral.